ACCUUCUUAUUUAGCUCUGUGCUAACAUUGCAGAAACUCUAUCAUGUCUUAGUAUUUGUAAUAAAGCUAGCAGAGUAAAACACAAGAAGAGAAACAACACUACCACAUAGUAGAAAAACUGAGAUGAACCUCUUUCUUAAGUGCAGGCUACUUUGUUCUAAGAUUUGGUACAAUAAUA
Diceros bicornis minor is the source of this 178-nucleotide small nucleolar RNA. RefSeq annotates it as small nucleolar RNA SNORA81. NCBI's taxonomy places the organism in Eukaryota, Metazoa, Chordata, Mammalia, Perissodactyla, Rhinocerotidae. The transcript has a single exon. The record is from RefSeq and is a predicted model, not a curated record.